Molecule: non-coding RNA, 74 nt
Organism: Odocoileus virginianus texanus
Lineage: Eukaryota; Metazoa; Chordata; Mammalia; Artiodactyla; Cervidae
Source: the annotation of a RefSeq genome assembly
GGCUUCCUGGCUUCGUCGGUUAAGGUGCCUGUCUGGUAAACAGGAGAUCCUGGGUUCGAAUCCCAGCGAGGCCU